This 253-nucleotide ribosomal RNA is filed under the name uncultured bacterium. Its description in RNAcentral is "partial 16S ribosomal RNA". It matches the Rfam family "Bacterial small subunit ribosomal RNA", at positions 524 to 776 of the family's 1533-position model. The record is from RNAcentral.
UACGUAGGGUGCAAGCGUUGUCCGGAAUUAUUGGGCGUAAAGAGCUCGUAGGCGGCCUGUCGCGUCGACUGUGAAAACCCAGGGCUCAACCCUGGGCCUGCAGUCGAUACGGGCAGGCUAGAGUGCAGUAGGGGAGACUGGAAUUCCUGGUGUAGCGGUGAAAUGCGCAGAUAUCAGGAGGAACACCGGUGGCGAAGGCGGAUCUCUGGGCCUGUCCUGACGCUCAGGCGCGAAAGCUAGGGGAGCAAACAGG